Molecule: regulatory RNA element, 107 nt
Organism: Planococcus sp. PAMC 21323
Lineage: Bacteria; Bacillati; Bacillota; Bacilli; Caryophanales; Caryophanaceae
Rfam family: PyrR binding site
About the family: This family represents the PyrR binding site and terminator structure.
Source: Rfam
AUUACCUUUUAAUGAAUGUCCAGAGAGGCAUGGAAGGGAUCGAAGAAUGGGUAAAGUCUACCCUUUUUUCCUCACACCUUCCUGCCCCUGGGAAGGUGUUUUUUUGU